UUGAAAAAUACUAGGAAACACACUCGCUUCAGCCUGCACCAACCAAAAUGACUGCUCAAAGGCCAUUCAGCCCCUUUAUCACUGUGGCUCAACUUUGAUUUUCUUCCCAGUUCAUCCAUGAUUCAGACUUCUUCUGUUUCAGGAGCUUUGCCCAUGCGUUCUGCCACCUUCUGCCAGGAAUUACACCUGUCCCACCCCGUCAAGUCUCCUGAAUGUCCAGAGACAGGGGUCUCCCUGUGUUGCCCAGAAUGGUCUUGAACUCCUGGUCUUCAAGCAAUCUUCCUGCCUUGGUCUCUCAAAGUGCUGGGAUUACAAGUGUGAGCCACCAUACCCGGUCAUAGCGCUCUUAUAAAAUGCAUCAUCAUAUUUAUUUUAUAAAUUCAGAAACAGAGGUCUGUAUAGAGAAGUUUUGAAGUUACUAGGGACCUGAAAAUCAUACUGAAGAUGUCUGCAACUAAAAACUCGAAGAGUUCCGAGGCUAGAGGGGUCAGGAGAUGAAUAAAAACGUUAGUCCCAGCUGAUCACAAUGAGGUUAAUCACAAUACUAAUUAAAAAUACUACAGAUCCUAGGACAAUGGUCAGAAGAAGAGUGACUAUACUUUCCUGUUUGCCCUUGGAAAAUCGAGGGCUGACUUUUCUACGUGCUCAGAUAACCUAAAUUGAUAGAGAGAAAGCUAGCAGAGGAUAAGAUAAACUAGUUAACUGUAAAUAAGAUUUUGCUGUUGGAGAAUCUUCUUGUUGCUCUGGUUUUAGAUAGCGGAGGAAGCCAAAAAAUAUCUGCUUUAAGUUACCAGGAGUUGAAGUUCAUCCCUGCUGAAGUUAACAGGUUGCUUCUCUUUUUCUGGUGUAUUCUUACUUUACUGGCGAAGAGAAAAUAAAUUAAUACCUUAUUGUUAAAA
RNAcentral lists this long non-coding RNA (899 nucleotides) under Pan troglodytes (chimpanzee). Its description in RNAcentral is "lincRNA". Lineage: Eukaryota; Metazoa; Chordata; Mammalia; Primates; Hominidae. The record is from RNAcentral.